UGGAGCGGUGCGAGAGUGGCCGAAUCGGGCUCCCUGCUAAGGAGUUGUACCCAUCCGGGUACCGGGGGUUCGAAUCCCCCCUGCUCCGUAAG
Molecule: transfer RNA, 92 nt
Filed under: Treponema vincentii ATCC 35580
Lineage: Bacteria; Pseudomonadati; Spirochaetota; Spirochaetia; Treponematales; Treponemataceae
Description: tRNA-Ser
Rfam family: tRNA
About the family: Transfer RNA (tRNA) molecules are approximately 80 nucleotides in length. Their secondary structure includes four short double-helical elements and three loops (D, anti-codon, and T loops).
Source: RNAcentral